UUACACCUCAACUCGGGUAGGACUACCCGCUGAACUUAAGCAUAUCA
RNAcentral lists this ribosomal RNA (47 nucleotides) under uncultured fungus. RNAcentral describes it as "partial 25S ribosomal RNA". The record is from RNAcentral. Lineage: Eukaryota; Fungi.